Molecule: ribosomal RNA, 745 nt
Filed under: uncultured archaeon
Lineage: Archaea
Description: bacterial SSU rRNA
Rfam family: Archaeal small subunit ribosomal RNA
Source: RNAcentral
AAUGGGUUAUGGCUUAAACCUAUAUGGCCUCUGGAUUGGACUGCGGCCGAUCAGGCAGUUGGUGAGGUAAUGGCCCACCAAACCUGUUACCGGUACGGGCUCUGAGAGGAGGAGCCCGGAGAUGGGCACUGAGACAAGGGCCCAGGCCCUAUGGGGCGCAGCAGGCGCGAAACCUCUGCAAUAGGCGAAAGCCUGACAGGGUUACUCUGAGUGAUUCCCGCUAAGGGGAUCUUUUGGCACUUCUAAAAAUGGUGCAGAAUAAGGGGUGGGCAAGUCUGGUGUCAGCCGCCGCGGUAAUACCAGCACCCCGAGUGGUCGGGACGAUUAUUGGGCCUAAAGCAUCCGUAGCCGGUCAUGCAAGUCCUCCGUUAAAUCCACCUGCUCAACAGAUGGGCUGCGGAGGAUACUACAAGGCUAGGAGGCGGAAGAGGCAAGCGGUACUCAGUGGGUAGGGGUAAAAUCCUCUGAUCCAUUGAAGACCACCAGUGGCGAAGGCGGCUUGCCAAUACGCGCUCGACGGUGAGGGAUGAAAGCUGGGGGAGCAAACCGGAUUAGAUACCCGGGUAGUCCCAGCUGUAAACGAUGCAGACUCGGUGAUGGGCCGGCUUUAUGCCGGCUCAGUGCCGCAGGGAAGCCGUUAAGUCUGCCGCCUGGGGAGUACGGUCGCAAGACUGAAACUUAAAGGAAUUGGCGGGGGAGCACCACAAGGGGUGAAGCCUGCGGUUCAAUUGGAGUCAACGCCGGA